GGCGUCGAGCGGCGGACGGGUGAGUAAUACUUAGGAAUCUACCUAGUAGUGGGGGAUAGCACGGGGAAACUCGUAUUAAUACCGCAUACGUCCUACGGGAGAAAGGGGGCAACUUUGUUGCUCUCGCUAUUAGAUGAGCCUAAGUCGGAUUAGCUAGAUGGUGGGGUAAAGGCCUACCAUGGCGACGAUCUGUAGCUGGUCUGAGAGGAUGAUCAGCCACACCGGGACUGAGACACGGCCCGGACUCCUACGGGAGGCAGCAGUGGGGAAUAUUGGACAAUGGGGGAAACCCUGAUCCAGCCAUGCCGCGUGUGUGAAGAAGGCCUUUUGGUUGUAAAGCACUUUAAGCAGUGAAGAAGACUCUUCGGUUAAUACCCGGAGACGAUGACAUUAGCUGCAGAAUAAGCACCGGCUAACUCUGUGCCAGCAGCCGCGGUAAUACAGAGGGUGCAAGCGUUAAUCGGAAUUACUGGGCGUAAAGCGAGCGUAGGUGGCUUGAUAAGUCAGAUGUGAAAUCCCCGGGCUUAACCUGGGAACUGCAUCUGAAACUGUUAGGCUAGAGUAGGUGAGAGGGAAGUAGAAUUUCAGGUGUAGCGGUGAAAUGCGUAGAGAUCUGAAGGAAUACCGAUGGCGAAGGCAGCUUCCUGGCAUCAUACUGACACUGAGGCUCGAAAGCGUGGGUAGCAAACAGGAUUAGAUACCCUGGUAGUCCACGCCGUAAACGAUGUCUACUAGUCGUUGGGUCCCUUGAGGACUUAGUGACGCAGCUAACGCAAUAAGUAGACCGCCUGGGGAGUACGGCCGCAAGGUUAAAACUCAAAUGAAUUGACGGGGGCCCGCACAAGCGGUGGAGCAUGUGGUUUAAUUCGAUGCAACGCGAAGAACCUUACCUGGUCUUGACAUAUCUAGAAUCCUGCAGAGAUGCGGGAGUGCCUUCGGGAAUUAGAAUACAGGUGCUGCAUGGCUUGUCGUCAGCUCGUGUCGUGAGAUGUUGGGUUAAGUCCCGCAACGAGCGCAACCCUUGUCCUUAGUUACCAGCGGGUUAAGCCGGGAACUCUAAGGAUACUGCCAGUGACAAACUGGAGGAAGGCGGGGACGACGUCAAGUCAUCAUGGCCCUUACGACCAGGGCUACACACGUGCUACAAUGGUAGGUACAGAGGGCAGCUACACAGCGAUGUGAUGCGAAUCUCAAAAAGCCUAUCGUAGUCCAGAUUGGAGUCUGCAACUCGACUCCAUGAAGUAGGAAUCGCUAGUAAUCGCGGAUCAG
RNAcentral lists this ribosomal RNA (1269 nucleotides) under Psychrobacter piscatorii. RNAcentral describes it as "bacterial SSU rRNA". It matches the Rfam family "Bacterial small subunit ribosomal RNA", at positions 87 to 1352 of the family's 1533-position model. The record is from RNAcentral. Lineage: Bacteria; Pseudomonadati; Pseudomonadota; Gammaproteobacteria; Moraxellales; Moraxellaceae.